CUGGGGUACUCGAGUGGCGAACGGGUGAGUAACACGUGGGUGAUCUGCCCUGCACUUCGGGAUAAGCCCGGGAAACUGGGUCUAAUACCGGAUAGGACCAUCGUUUAGUGUCGGUGGUGGAAAGUUUUUCGGUGUUGGAUGAGCUCGCGGCCUAUCAGCUUGUUGGUGGGGUAAUGGCCUACCAAGGCGUCGACGGGUAGCCGGCCUGAGAGGGUGUACGGCCACAUUGGGACUGAGAUACGGCCCAG
Molecule: ribosomal RNA, 248 nt
Filed under: uncultured Actinomycetales bacterium
Lineage: Bacteria; Bacillati; Actinomycetota; Actinomycetes; Actinomycetales
Description: partial 16S ribosomal RNA
Rfam family: Bacterial small subunit ribosomal RNA
Source: RNAcentral